AUACGGAGGAUGCAAGCGUUAUCCGGAAUUAUUGGGCGUAAAGAGUGCGUAGGUGGUUACCUAAGCGCAGGGUUUAAGGCUACGGCUUAACUGUAGUUCGCCCUGCGAACUGGGCAACUUGAGUGCAGGAGAGGAAAGCGGAAUUCCUAGUGUAGCGGUGAAAUGCUUAGAUAUUAGGAGGAACACCAGUGGCGAAGGCGGCUUUCUGGACUGAAACUGACACUGAGGCACGAAAGCGUGGGGAGCAAACAGGAUUAGAUACCCUGGUAGUCCACGCCGUAAACGAUGAGCACUAGGUGUCGGGGGGAUCACCCUCGGUGCCGGAGUUAACGCAUUAAGUGCUCCGCCUGGGGAGUACGCACGCAAGUGUAAAACUCAAAGGAAUUGACGGGG
RNAcentral lists this ribosomal RNA (393 nucleotides) under uncultured bacterium. RNAcentral describes it as "partial 16S ribosomal RNA". It matches the Rfam family "Bacterial small subunit ribosomal RNA", at positions 523 to 918 of the family's 1533-position model. The record is from RNAcentral.